This 376-nucleotide ribosomal RNA is filed under the name uncultured bacterium. RNAcentral describes it as "bacterial SSU rRNA". It matches the Rfam family "Bacterial small subunit ribosomal RNA", at positions 521 to 896 of the family's 1533-position model. The record is from RNAcentral.
UAAUACAGAGGGUGCGAGCGUUAAUCGGAAUAACUGGGCGUAAAGGGCGCGUAGGUGGUUAUGUAAGAUCGAUGUGAAAUCCCUGGGCUUAACCUGGGAACUGCAUUGAUGACUGGAUAGCUAGAGUACUGAAGAGGGUAGUAGAAUUUCCGGUGUAGCAGUGAAAUGCGUAGAGAUCGGAAGGAAUACCAGUGGCGAAGGCGGCUACCUGGACAGAUACUGACACUGAGGCGCGAAAGCGUGGGGAGCAAACAGGAUUAGAUACCCUGGUAGUCCACGCUGUAAACGAUGAAGACUAGAUGAUGGACAGCGUGACUGUUUAGUAUCGAAGCUAACGCGAUAAGUCUUCCGCCUGGGGAGUACGGCCGCAAGGUUA